UUUACCAAGUGGGUGGAGGCAAUACCCAUUAGGGUCAGUAAGGGAAAGAAGAGUACGUGCUUAAAUCUAAAUUCCCUUCUGUGAACCAUUAAAGGUGCUUGGAACCAAAAAUAGAUUUUUGUUUUGUAUGAUACCCAUCAAGGACGAGACUGGCGAGGCCACCUCCAAGACGACGGUGGACAUCAACACCCACGGUAAUCUUGAGUGACCGAGGUUUGGUGACUGGACCAACGAGACCCUCAAGACCGCCAUGGGCAAGUCCCUUGAUUGGUACCAGGAAGGAUGUGAGAACAACCUGAAGAUCCCUGAAACCCCAUCUGAUGUGGUGGAAGUUUUUGGACCAUCGACUGGCCGAGCCCCCCAGGAGGUAUCCCAUCCACCAGAACCAGUGAGUUCGGAUCAGUUUGGUUUGCUGUGCUCUGAGUCGGAGUGGGACCAGUUAGGCUAUAUCUUCCAAAAGUGUUGAAGUACAUAUCUCCCAUUUGUAACACUGCACCAAUCCAUGACAUGUUCUCAGUGUAACCUGUGUGUUUGCUUGUUUGUGUCUGUCUCCUACCUUG
This is a long non-coding RNA of Oncorhynchus tshawytscha (Chinook salmon), 560 nucleotides long. Lineage: Eukaryota; Metazoa; Chordata; Actinopteri; Salmoniformes; Salmonidae. The record is from Ensembl.